This 60-nucleotide small RNA is filed under the name Arabidopsis thaliana (thale cress). RNAcentral describes it as "ATSL048700". The record is from RNAcentral. Lineage: Eukaryota; Viridiplantae; Streptophyta; Magnoliopsida; Brassicales; Brassicaceae.
AUACCUUUCUCUCUCUCUCUCUCUCUCUUCUUCUUCUUCUUCUUCUUCGUCUUCUUCUCU